UCAAUUUGACCCUAAUGACAGAGGACAAAUGUGGGCCACAGUUAGCAAAAUAGUGGCAUAGUCAUUUAAGGGUAAUCUAGGUCUAAACCUAAAGUGGCUCACAUGUGUAGGUGAAAAUGUGGCCCAGUUAUCUUAAGACAGGCACAGUAAGCCAACAAUCCAUUCAGUAUAUGGUCCAGAUGUAAGUGUCGGGUGUAGGCCACAUCUGGGCCAGAAUAAAAGCAAACUGUGGCCCAGAAUAGGGUCAGUUCUGGUUCAUUUGGUUGAAUUCUGGCUCAUAUGUGAUAUUGCUAUGGCUUAAUAGUGGCCCAGAUCUGACAUGUGUAUGCUAAUGCAAAUGUAUCACUUUUAAAUUCGUUUACGCUUCAUAAUUCUUCUGUGUCUCGUUUCUCCAUUCAGAGAUCUCACUGGGAAUCGACUGAGUAAUUUGCCAAUGACUGGACUGACAAGUCUUACUCAUCUCAAACUGAAAGGCAACAUGGCACUGUCACGUUCCUUCGGAUUGGAGGACUUCCCCAACAUAAGGGUCAUCGAGAUGCCAUAUGCCUAUCAGUGCUGUGUUUUUGGAGGCUGUAGCAGUUACAGAUCUGCCAGCCAGUGGGAAGAACAGAUGGGCAGUGAAGAGGAAGAUUUCCAGAAGAAAUCUCCGUCCCUGUUCCCCAUUCACACUGACAACAACUAUGACCUUGACUUAGAAGAAUUCCAGUUAGCGAUUGAAGAGUCCAAGCUACAGACCAGCAUACAGUGCACCCCCAUACCAGGUAAAUUCAAUCCACAACAACUCUAUUUUUUUGAAUGAAUGCCACCAAGACUACAAAGGCCUGUUCAAAUGAAUCAACAAUCAUGUUAAAGGAAGAUGUAUUUGCUACAAAAAUGUGUCUUGCUCCAGUUACACUCUGAGAGGGACCUGAACUGGAAUUUCCUGUAUGGGAGUUGGACAAGCUCACAAAGACAUGAAAUACUUUAGUCUUUAGGUUCAGUCACUAGUGCAGCUCUAAAGGCCAUUUUUAGAUGGUUUACUCACACAGCUUCUUCUAGCCUGGGGUCCGUUCUUUGAACCUCGCUUAAAUGAUCUAAGAUGAUUUGGCAGAUCCUGGAUCUGUUCAUCUCGAUAACUGGUCUCUCGCUAAUUUGGUUCUUCAAACAAGUUCGCGAAUCAGAUUAGAAUGUCUGGAUGAACUGAUCUGAGAUCACUGCGUGUGUUGUGAAGGACAGAUCAAUCAAUUCUCGAAAUCAUGAUCAGCAAUGCAACGAUUGGCUUAAUGCGUAAUGACAUCAUCUGAUUAAUAUUCAACUAUCCAUGUGAGCAAAAUUACAUCAAAUUAGCAGUAAACCGUUUGUUAAAUAUGACAUGCAAUAACCUUCCACAUUUGUUGUGAGCUGCAGGCUUUACACUUUCAUGUGUCAAGAGUAUUCAUCAUGUAUUUCAAUGCAUAUCAGUGUAUUUAGUUCUACAUUUAGAAAAUAUUUUCUUUAUUAUAGUAGCCGUUUUUUUAAUCGGUGUAAAGAAUAACUGGAUGUUUACAAAAGCAUUUUGAUAUUGGUAACGGUGUCUGCAACUUUUGUGAAGCAUCAAAUCACCGGCAUAUUAACUGUCAAAACAUGUUUAUGAUUGCAUGUAUUAUUGCUUUUAAAAAAAAGUCACAUAUAUGUACUAAUAGUUACUAUU
Molecule: long non-coding RNA, 1669 nt
Filed under: Danio rerio (zebrafish)
Lineage: Eukaryota; Metazoa; Chordata; Actinopteri; Cypriniformes; Danionidae
Description: lncRNA (ENSDARG00000117500.1)
Source: RNAcentral